ACAGAAUUUAAUUCAACAUACUUACGAAUAUUCAUAGAGACAGAAAGAAAACCUAGAACUAGCGCCUUAAUAGAACAUGACACUGAAGCACACCAAUUCACACUCAAACGAUCAGAGUAUAGUCAAAUAGUCUAACACCCAGAACACACAAAUAGAUGCGUAUAUAAUGCAGUCAAAUAGAACCCACCCAUCCUGCUAGCACACCUCUCUGUCCCUCGAUCACAUCCCAUAAAAGCUAUUUAAGCUCAUCCAACCUAAACACACCACAUAGGACCUCGAGGGCCCAUCCA
This 290-nucleotide long non-coding RNA is filed under the name Gossypium barbadense (sea-island cotton). Its description in RNAcentral is "long non-coding RNA (GBAR_LNC007366)". The record is from RNAcentral. Lineage: Eukaryota; Viridiplantae; Streptophyta; Magnoliopsida; Malvales; Malvaceae.